CGUCUGGUGGCGAUGGCGAAGAGGUCACACCCGUUCCCAUCCCGAACACGGAAGUUAAGCUCUUCAGCGCCGAUGGUAGUGAGGGGAUUCCCCUUGCGAGAGUAGGACGCUGCUAGGCAG
This 120-nucleotide ribosomal RNA is filed under the name Bacillus smithii. The record is from RNAcentral. Lineage: Bacteria; Bacillati; Bacillota; Bacilli; Caryophanales; Bacillaceae.